UAGGGAAUCUUCCACAAUGGACGCAAGUCUGAUGGAGCAACGCCGCGUGAGUGAAGAAGGUUUUCGGAUCGUAAAGCUCUGUUGUUGGUGAAGAAGGAUAGAGGUAGUAACUGGCCUUUAUUUGACGGUAAUCAACCAGAAAGUCACGGCUAACUACGUGCCAGCAGCCGCGGUAAUACGUAGGUGGCAAGCGUUGUCCGGAUUUAUUGGGCGUAAAGCGAGCGCAGGCGGAAAGAUAAGUCUGAUGUGAAAGCCCUCGGCUUAACCGGGGAAUUGCAUCGGAAACUGUUUUUCUUGAGUGCAGAAGAGGAGAGUGGAACUCCAUGUGUAGCGGUGGAAUGCGUAGAUAUAUGGAAGAACACCAGUGGCGAAGGCGGCUCUCUGGUCUGCAACUGACGCUGAGGCUCGAAAGCAUGGGUAGCGAACAGG
This 429-nucleotide ribosomal RNA is filed under the name uncultured bacterium. RNAcentral describes it as "bacterial SSU rRNA". It matches the Rfam family "Bacterial small subunit ribosomal RNA", at positions 355 to 776 of the family's 1533-position model. The record is from RNAcentral.